Molecule: long non-coding RNA, 889 nt
Organism: Solanum dulcamara
Lineage: Eukaryota; Viridiplantae; Streptophyta; Magnoliopsida; Solanales; Solanaceae
Exons: 3
Source: RefSeq, a predicted model, not a curated record
GCGUGGAUAAGGGGUUUAUUUAAAAUAUUGUGUGAAUGUGCUUUUGUGCUCGAUUUUUCUAUGUGAAUCUGGAUCUUGCUGUCACUGUCGUGAAUAGUGCUCUUAUUUAUUAGUCAUGUCGAUAUUCAUUAUUACUCCAUUUCUUGGCUAAGGGUUGUUUUCCCCUCUUCGAAUUUCAAAUUUUAAUUCCCCCCCAGAGAUCUGUGUUCUUUUUCAUGAAUUUCAGAGGCUUUCCGCAGUCUCAGCAAGGACGAAUGAGGGACGCCCAGCUUGGAUCACAUACUGUGAGUCUCAUGGUAUGAUGGUGGCAAGGACUCAUUUGAAUGACUGGCUGAUCCUUAUACUACUUUUCCGAUAGUUGUCCUUCUGAAUGCUAUCCAUCCAUUUUAUUGGUUUGUCGGGGAAGACAUGAUGGAAGACCUCAAGUAUCUUUUUAAAAGUAAUACUGUAAUUAUUGGGGAUGUGCCAGUGAGUUGAUCAUCAUUUUCCAUUCAGCAGCUACAAAAUUACUCUGUGGAGGCGAUUGGUACCUCAUAUUCAUAUUUCAAAAUUUCCAAAAUUUAUCAGGCGUAUGCUGUUCUGCUUACCUAUGAUUGUUUUUAUUCUCUUUUAUUUUUGACAAAGAGAUGUCUAUGAUCUUCAUCAUGUGAUAUCAGGGCUUUUGUUCUCUGUUCAGGUAACAGCUGUUAUCACAGAUGCUAUUGAAGAUGCAGUUAGACGGCCUAGGACACACUUCUUCUGGCGCUGUUUUCCAGAUGGAAAAGUAUGUGUCUGUAAUGACCAUCAUAGUUAUUUUAAGUUUUACAACUUAUAAGAAAUCAGUACAUCGAACUGGAAAGAUGACAAAAAGAUAAGGCUUGCCUCUUGCACAGGCAAAAACAUUUUUUGA